UCAGCGAUGGCGAUCUCCUGGUAGCCAAUCGAACUUGCAGGAAACAUAUUCCAGGAGCGAUAGAAAACACACACGGAGGGACGAGCCGAUCCAGUCUGUCAUAAGGUGUACAGCUACAGAGGAUGUCCCAGUCACCAUAGGCGUCAAGUGUUUGCUGCUGGAUGACACACCAAAGUCCAGGCGGGUGAAAACAUCGAACGUGAAGUCCCAUAAUACGAAGAAUAAGUACAAGCCGCUGUAUAGAGCAUGGCGCUUAUGGGGGAGGGGAGCUACCCUGCUGUUGCUGAGGAGGAUCUGCAUGCUGGAACAACAAUCCUCCGGCGACGGUAGGCCCCACAUGCAUUUGGACUGGCGUCUGCAACGACGUUCACCCUUUUCGGCGUUCCGGCGUAUCCAGCAAUGUACCUCCUAAAGCAAAGAAGAAACGUUGCAGUACCUACACUGGUAAAUAACUGUUCCCACCCACAUCGUUCUUAUAAUUAAAAACGUGAA
Molecule: long non-coding RNA, 492 nt
Organism: Ornithodoros turicata
Lineage: Eukaryota; Metazoa; Arthropoda; Arachnida; Ixodida; Argasidae
Exons: 3
Source: RefSeq, a predicted model, not a curated record